This 253-nucleotide ribosomal RNA is filed under the name uncultured prokaryote. RNAcentral's name for it is "partial 16S ribosomal RNA". It matches the Rfam family "Bacterial small subunit ribosomal RNA", at positions 524 to 776 of the family's 1533-position model. The record is from RNAcentral.
UACGUAGGAGGCAAGUGUUGUCCGGAGUUACUGGGCGUAAAGCGGGUGUAGGCGGUACGCUGCGUCGAUGGUGAAAUCUCCCGGCUUACCUGGGAGGGGGCCGUCGAUACGAGCGGACUUGAGGGCGUGAGAGGCGAGUAGAACUCCCGGUGGACCAGUGAAAUGGGUAGAGAUCGGGAAGAAUACCAGUGGUGCAGACGGCUCGCUGGCGCGUACCUGACGCUGAGACCCGAAAGCUUGGGGAGCAAACAGG